CGGGUGAGUAACACGUGACUAACCUACCCUCGAGUGGGGGAUAACCCCGGGAAACCGGGGCUAAUACCGCAUAACAUCGAGAGAUCAAAGGAGCAAUCCGCUUGAGGAGGGGGUCGCGGCUGAUUAGCUAGUUGGUGAGGUAACGGCUCACCAAGGCGAUGAUCGGUAGCCGGCCUGAGAGGGCGCACGGCCACACUGGAACUGAAACACGGUCCAGACUCCUACGGGAGGCAGCAGUGGGGAAUUUUGCGCAAUGGGGGAAACCCUGACGCAGCAACGCCGCGUGGAGGAUGAAGUCCCUUGGGACGUAAACUCCUUUCGACCGGGACGAUUAUGACGGUACCGGUGGAAGAAGCCCCGGCUAACUUCGUGCCAGCAGCCGCGGUAAUACGAGGGGGGCAAGCGUUGUUCGGAAUUAUUGGGCGUAAAGGGCGCGUAGGCGGUGCGGUAAGUCACCUGUGAAACCUCUGGGCUUAACUCAGAGCCUGCAGGCGAAACUACCGUGCUGGAGUGUGGGAGAGGUGCGUGGAAUUCCCGGUGUAGCGGUGAAAUGCGUAGAUAUCGGGAGGAAC
RNAcentral lists this ribosomal RNA (572 nucleotides) under uncultured bacterium. RNAcentral's name for it is "bacterial SSU rRNA". It matches the Rfam family "Bacterial small subunit ribosomal RNA", at positions 103 to 707 of the family's 1533-position model. The record is from RNAcentral.